Molecule: long non-coding RNA, 5201 nt
Filed under: Cucumis sativus (cucumber)
Lineage: Eukaryota; Viridiplantae; Streptophyta; Magnoliopsida; Cucurbitales; Cucurbitaceae
Description: long non-coding RNA (CSAT_LNC001421)
Source: RNAcentral
UCGAACCUCUUCUUAGUCUCCUUGGCGGCAGUCACCUUCUUGUCUUUUGACUGCAAUGAAUCAAUAGUGACAACGUCUUUAAGAUCGACAUCGAGAGUGUACCUUGUGGGCAUCAGGUGCCUGUAGUUGACGAGCUUGACAAAGGCCUUGACUCGAGAUUUUUUGGCGGUUUUCUUGGCGGAGUCCUUGCGGAUGACCUUGGCCGGGUACUUCUUGAUUCCAGCGACUAAACAGUGGCCAUAAGCACGAUCCCGGGUACCGUCGUCAAAGGCGCGAACGAUGACCGCCUUCCGACCGGCGUAACGGCCUUGGAGGACGAUGACGGCUUUGUUGGGCUUGAGGAAUUUCACCAUUUUCGGAUUUCUCCUCCACUCUGUACUUCCCCUUCUAUGACGGCUCUUCUUCAACAAGAGAGGGGGCGUAGAUUUAGGUUAUCUCAACAUAUUGGGUUUUAGGGCAUUUUCAACUGAGAUUGGGCCCCAAUUAAAAUGGGCCUUCCUACUGCACUGGGCCAUACUUGAAAUUAGGCCGAAGUAUUAGCAAAAAAAAAAAAUAUGCUUAUUUUGUUUUUAAUUGUUAUGCAACUGUUCGAGACCAGGAAGACCGAGUUUUGUAUUUUAAUAUUAAUUUUGAAAUAUUAUAUUAUAAUAUAUUAAAUAAUAUUUUAUUACUAUUGAAUUCUACUUCAUAAUAGUACGUGUAUUCCUUUCAAAAUUUCAAAAUUUUGAGUUCAAAUCUUAUCUACAACAUCUUUAAAUGGUAUACGUUGCUUUCUUGCUAUUAAGUUGGUGAUUCCUGUUGUGGUAUGAUCCGUUUGAUCUAAUUUUUUGCUAAGGGGUUAAAUUUUGCUAUGAAAGAAGGCUCCCAGAGACUUACUUACCUACAUCAUUUGAUGAUUUGCUGUCCAUUUUUUUUGUAGUUAAAAGUUUUGCAUUCAUGUUUUGUUCUGAUUUGUUGGAAUUGGAAGGCAUUCUCCACAAACCCCCUUUGUGUGAUGACUUGAACGGUAUUAUUGAUAUUAGCUCUUAAUAUCUUUGGAAUAGUGUGCUUUAGCCUUUACCUUCUCAUAGCUGUUAUCUAGUUUGCUUUUUAUUUUCUUUCUUUUAUUGGAUCAAGUUACUCAGCUACUGGGUUUUGGUCCUCUUGUUCUUAUGUUCCAUUCUUGUUGAGGUCUCUGUUUUCUAUUUAACCUAAGUAUCUCACUAGGUUGUUUUGAGAUAUGCAACGAGGUGGAAAUUUGUGAUUGGGGUCAAUUAGAUGGUCUUCAGCUGAUGACCUCUUUUUUCCUCUUCUUUAUUUUGAGAAUGAUUAAUCAAUAAUCUUAUUUUGUUCAUGCACCCAAUUCGCUUUUUGAUGCUUCACGAUAUGAGGUUUUUUUUGUCAAAAUGUCUUGGAAGAAGUGGGGAUGGAUGAAGAUAUCCCUUUAAUUGUUUGUUAGGGAAGAGGUAGGUUUCAGUUCACUGCUAUGCUAUGUUACUUUAAUUAUUGCAUUAUAAAACUUAAUUCCCAGACAACGGAAAUGAAAAAGUUUUAACUCUUUUCUUUAUCCUUCGAGUUGUGCUUACAUGUGUUUGCUUUGAAAAAAUUUUGGAUGUGGUUUUCUGUUAGCGGGUCACACAUCUUUUAGUGAUAUAUUUAAGGAGUUCUUUCUCCGUCGGUCGCUUUCAAGAAGAGGGAUUUUGUAAAGACCCUAGAUAGGAAAAUAGUGGAUUACUGGUAGAAAAUGUAGAAAAUAAAAAUAGUAGUUAACAAACAUAUUAGUAAAUAGUUAGUAAGUUGGUUACAUCUUUUUGUUAUAUAUAGUAUGGGAGAGGGGUUGAAAAGAGGUGUGAAGAAUUUUGAAGAAAUAUUUCCUUGUAAGGGAACCUUGAGAAAGUCCAGCCCUCUCAAAAGGCUAGGAUUACUUGUUCUUAUGAUCUUCUAGUAUAUAUUUCAUAUUUGAAUGUUCUGUUAAGAGUUAUUGAGUUCAUCUUAUUUUAUUGAGAUAAUUCUGGUUAGGUGAGAUCCUAACAAAUUAGUAUCAGAGCUGUAACAUUUUGUGGAUGACACAGGUUAUGUGUAGAAACAAAACAGAGGAGAGGUUGGAAAAGAAUGAAGACAUUAGGGAGCUUAAAUAUUUAGAGUUGUCCAAAAGAGUUGAAAGGAUGGCAGAGGAAUUACGAGAAAAUAGUGUUCAUCAUCUACGAAAAGAAUCUAGUAUGUCGAAGAAAGUUGAAAGGAUGGCAGAGGAAUUACGAGAAAAUAGUGUUCAUCAUCUACGAAAAGAAACUAGUAUGUCGAAGAAAUUUGUGUUGAAAAGUAAAGGAAGGAUGGAAGAAAGCACGGGCACGAUUGAGAAAGGGACUUGGGAGUAAACACCUAAAUGCGCUGUGGUUGAAAGAGGAGAGACUCUAUGAAUAUGGGAGUAGAUGCAGAAAUGGAUUGUAGAUUGCAAAGAGAAGAAUACAUAGGCAUGCUAUAUCAAUGCAUCAAAAGCUUUCUAAAGGGCUGCAAAGUGAUAAAGAAAGAGAGGGGAAGAAACUAGCAAAAAUCAAAGUUAGAGAAAAAGAGAAAUGGAAAAAUGACUUGAAGAUGAAGGAAUCAAAAAAACGAGCAUGAAAAAAAUGGAGGAAAGAGGAAGCCAAAUCUAAUUGUACAUUCUUAUGACCAACGAUGAAAGGUGAAGUGGUCGGAGACAAAUACUGAGUGGAAAUGGAAACACUAAACAUAGGAGGCAGAAGCAUGGGAGAAGAGACGGUUACUAUUGACGAGAAGGGAAAGUGUAUGAAAAAUGAAUGAUUGAGAGAGUUAUCCCUGACCCUACAAGAAAAUGAAAAUCUCUCAAUGCAUGAGAUAUAGUCUUUUACGUAUAAUUUAACUGUAAGAUUAUAUGAACGUUUUUAGAAUUUCAAAUUAACAUCAGGCAUUCAUAAAACCAUAUACCAAAAUAAUAUAAUCAACUACAAAAACGAAAUAGACCACACACAACAAAAUAUAAUGUUUAUUUCAUCUAACUUUGAAGAUUUUCAAACCCAGACAGAGCACAGGACCAACCGGUCCUAAACCAACUCGAACUGAACUCAGAUUCCACCAAAACAACAAUAAAUUACUUUUGAGUUGUAAGUUUAAAUAAACGUGACUAAAUUGCUCCAUAGAUUUAAUUAAGGUAUCGUAUUCCCCUCUAGGCCAUCACCAAGACCUAAACAUGGCAUGCAUUCAAUGCAUUGGUAGAAUAUUCCGAGACAGGGAAAUAAAAUGCAAUAGAAAAUUCACAAUAAAUUGAUUAACCAAUGCAAUAGAAACUAUUGAAAUAGCAGACGGAUACAGCAACUAAUCAGUCUAAUCUCUGAUUAACAAAGACAAAAUGUUUGAGAAGAUGAGCGCAAGCAAAGCAUAGAUGAUAUUGAAACUUACACAGAGCAAAGUUACCAGUUGAAGUAACAUGGUAUCCAAAUAGUAGAACAAAUUUUUCAUCAUGCAUUAGAUCUGAAAACAGUAGAACAAAUUUUUCAUCUUUCUACUAUGUGUUAUUCAGAGAUCAGGGACAGGUAGAUGUGAUCCAUCAAAUAAGGGUACAUAACCAAUAUCGAUAUUUGUUCAUCAACAUGUAAUUAGACUUCAACUAUAGCAUAGUUAAAAUAAAAAAAUAAAUUGAAAUUGUGUGUAAUUAGACAUCAAUUAUAACAUAGUUAAAAUACAAAAAGAAAUCCUAAAUUAUUUUUCAGGAGUAUAUCAUAUUUAGUUUAACAAACUCGCGAAAAUCCCAAUGGGAGCUAACAUCUUUCAAACCUAAAAUAAAAAUCAAACCCUAAACCACAAACCAUAAAUGAAUUUUUCACAAAAAAAAAAGAAAAAAAAGAAAAAAAAUGUGAGUUUCAUCCAAACUCAAGGUCGACAAACAGGGAUUAGAGACUCAAAUGCUCCGUACCCUUGCCCAAAACAAGAACACAACCUCUGCUCAACAUCCAUCAUGGUCAUAUAUAUUAUUUUUUAAAAGAAAUCCUGACCAAAAUUUGAAACCUCACAAUGACAGCUUCAGGAAAUCUAUUUGCAAAAAAAAUAUCCCUCAGAAUUGAUACUUCUCACCAGUAAGACUCAGUCCACUACUUUUAUAAUUCCAAUCAAUCAUCAUAGGGAUAUAAAUUUCAAUACCUAUUUUUUUCAGAUAUAAAUCAUUAAUAUUCAAUGUAAAAUCCGGAACUACGGACAAAUAUACCAGAGAUUGAAGGCUUAAUUCAUCGAUUAAAAAAAAAAAAUAUAUAUAUAUAUAUAUAUAAAAACCCAGAAGCCAUCUCAGAAGGAAAGGUAAUUCAAGCAGUAUAUCUAAAAACUCAUUAAGAUCGUAACAAAUUUGUAAAGGAAGAAGGGAAUGCUUGGAAUUUCAAGACGUUUCAAGAGCAUUCUGGUUGAAACGAAAAAAGAUCGAAGACUUCAAAACAAGACAGCCGGCCGGUAAACAAAAGGGAUGGAAACGUUUAAAGGAACUCCACUCAAUCAUAAGCAAAUACUCAGACAUCAAAUAUUUAAAAGUAUACAGAUACAUAAGUUGCAUUGCAUAAUCUACAUCUCGUAAAGCGGUUUUCACUUUAAAACGAAGAAGAAAAAUAUAUGAAUACCAAAACCAUCACAUAAUAUCAGAAAAAUAUAUGAAUCUAUAUAAAUGCAAGUCUCAAAUGUAUCAUUAUAACCAUAGAGAUUUCUCAUCCAAGCAUUCAAAGUACGUCCAGACAAAAAUUAAACACCAAAACAAACUACAUUAGUAAGAUAGAACGUACGAUAACUCGAAAACAAAAAAUCAAAUUGCUCAAUAACCUAAUACGAGAGUAAUCCAGAAGAAACCAGUAACUGAAUGAGCUACUUCAGAAUCUGAGCUUAGUGAAAAACCACCUGUUCUUCCCGGUUUUGAACCUUUCCUCGAACCUCUUCUUGGUCUCUUUGGCGGCGGUGACCUUUUUGUCCUUUGACUGCAACGAAUCGACAGUGACAACAUCUUUAAGAUCGACAUCGAGAGUGUACCUAGUGGGCAUCAGAUGCCUAUAAUUAACGAGCUUAAUGAAGGCCUUGACACGGGAUUUUUUAGCGGUCUUCUUGGCGGAGUCCUUGCGGAUAACCUUGGCCGGGUACUUCUUGAUUCCAGCGACUAAGCAGUGGCCAUAAGCGCGAUCCCGAGUUCCAUCGUCGAAGGCGCGAAUGAUGACCGCCUUCCGGCCGGCGUAACGGCC